UGGGGUGUGGCUCAGUGGUAGAGUGCUUACUUAGCAAGUACAAAGCCCUAGGUUGGAUCCCCAGUACCACAA
Molecule: transfer RNA, 72 nt
Filed under: Neotoma lepida (desert woodrat)
Lineage: Eukaryota; Metazoa; Chordata; Mammalia; Rodentia; Cricetidae
Rfam family: tRNA
About the family: Transfer RNA (tRNA) molecules are approximately 80 nucleotides in length. Their secondary structure includes four short double-helical elements and three loops (D, anti-codon, and T loops).
Source: Rfam by way of RNAcentral